RNAcentral lists this ribosomal RNA (253 nucleotides) under uncultured bacterium. RNAcentral describes it as "partial 16S ribosomal RNA". It matches the Rfam family "Bacterial small subunit ribosomal RNA", at positions 524 to 776 of the family's 1533-position model. The record is from RNAcentral.
UACGUAGGGUGCAAGCGUUAUUCGGAAUUACUGGGCGUAAAGCGUGCGCAGGCGGCUUUUCAAGUCAGAUGUGAAAUCCCCGGGCUUAACCUGGGAACUGCAUUUGUGACUGCAUGGCUGGAGUGCGGCAGAGGGGGAUGGAAUUCCGCGUGUAGCAGUGAAAUGCGUAGAUAUGCGGAGGAACACCGAUGGCGAAGGCAAUCCCCUGGGCCUGAACUGACGCUCAUGCACGAAAGCGUGGGGAGCAAACGGG